CCGCAGCACCCUGAAGUAUGAGUCCUUUUCCGUCUGACCACUGCUCCAGUUGACUCACCUUUUCCUCCAGCUGCACCAUCAUGCUGCCUGGGGCAGAACAGCACAAUACAACCUUUAUUGCACAAGUCAGUUCAUUUUACAGAGAAAAGGCUCCGAUACCUGGCCCAGCUCCCCCUCAGCAAAUGAUGCCUCGCUGCACAGAUGACCAUGAUCCUUCAGCACGGACAAGGAGGGUCUCACAAAUCUUCAUUCGUGGAAUACAUGGAGAGUAACGAAAAGGAAGGUUGAAGACUGUCCAAGUCCAUCUCCAGACUUAAACCAUGUAGAGUAUGCAUUUUACCUGCUAAUCAUGAGACACAAGG
Long non-coding RNA from Phyllopteryx taeniolatus (common seadragon), 362 nucleotides. RefSeq lists it as uncharacterized. The transcript has 3 exons. The record is from RefSeq and is a predicted model, not a curated record. Lineage: Eukaryota; Metazoa; Chordata; Actinopteri; Syngnathiformes; Syngnathidae.